This 433-nucleotide ribosomal RNA is filed under the name uncultured bacterium. RNAcentral describes it as "partial 16S ribosomal RNA". It matches the Rfam family "Bacterial small subunit ribosomal RNA", at positions 29 to 507 of the family's 1533-position model. The record is from RNAcentral.
AACGAACGCUGGCGGCAUGCCUAGCACAUGCAAGUCGAACGAGACCUUCGGGUCUAGUGGCGCACGGGUGCGUAACGCGUGGGAACCUGCCCUUAGGUUCGGAAUAACUCCCCGAAAGGGGUGCUAAUACCGGAUAAUGUCUUCGGACCAAAGAUUUAUCGCCUUUGGAUGAGCCCGCGUUGGAUUAGCUAGUUGGUAGGGUAAAAGCCUACCAAGGCGACGAUCCAUAGCUGGUCUGAGAGGAUGAUCAGCCACACUGGGACUGAGACACGGCCCAGACUCCUACGGGAGGCAGCAGUGGGGAAUAUUGGACAAUGGGCGAAAGCCUGAUCCAGCAAUGCCGCGUGAGUGAUGAAGGCCUUAGGGUUGUAAAGCUCUUUUACCCGGGAUGAUAAUGACAGUACCGGGAGAAUAAGCUCCGGCUAACUCCGUG